Molecule: long non-coding RNA, 7035 nt
Organism: Herpailurus yagouaroundi (jaguarundi)
Lineage: Eukaryota; Metazoa; Chordata; Mammalia; Carnivora; Felidae
Exons: 2
Source: RefSeq, a predicted model, not a curated record
CGGUGCGGGUGAGGGCCCGGUGAGGGGGGCAGGUGAGGGCCGGCCCAGGCGAGGUCUGCAGGCGCGAUGCGGUAACGUGACAGAUUCUUCAGGCUUUAGCAUUUCAGAACGUUAUGUUUACGGUGACGCGAAUUUUUAUCACAGUCUUUAUUGUUUCAGUUGCUACUCACGGAGAUCUGAGUCUUUCCCCCGUGUAAGUGUAAGUGGUAAGACGUCCGCCUGCCUGACCCGGGCAGCCCUGCCGCGGAGGGCAGGACGACGCCAUGGCCAGCACGUUUUGACGCAGUUGGUGAUUUUUCACGUGCCCAGCUGUGUUAUGGCGCGGGUGACCCGACCGUGCCUGCUGGUGGUGGCUCGGUGUCCACGUGACUGCAUCUUGUCCCGGACCAAACAGCGCGCCAGGAUUCUACGUCUUUUCUGAAGCACCUUUCUGUCUCGCUUGGAUUUGAUCAUCGCAUCGUGUUCUCUUGGCUCAGUUUCCUUCCUUUUUGCCUUUUUCUAAGUAUUCUCCCCACCGCGGCUCAAUUCUGUGUGCCCGGAGCCAGAACCGCUGUCCCGAGUGUCCCGAGCCUCCCCUUUGGGCCCUACUGCCUGCUGGGGACUGUCGUCUCCCUCCGCCUCCGGAGACGCCUUCACCGUUCCCCGGCUCCAACAUCUUGUUUCUUUGCUCUCUUACUUUGGUGGACUAGAUGCAUCUUCCAGGAGCUUCGUGGACCAGGGUGCGUGGGAGGCAAACGAAUUUGGCACAUCAGGAGAUGCCUUCCUCACUCUGUCCACACUUGCUUGACCGCGGGGCAGGCGCUCCGUAGCCUGGGGAGGGAGUCGUGUCCCUCAGAGUCCAGACGGCUUUGCUCCGGGGCUGUCUGCGUGUGGCGUUGGCGGGGCACCUGGUGCUGCGCGAGCCUCUCUCCCCUGCUGACGGGCAUCUCCGUCCCGCCCCUCGUGUUCGGGAGUGUUGGGCACCACCUGUGCGAGCAGACGGCUGCUCGUGCCAGGCCGGGGGUUCCUCGCAGGGCCUGACCCUGCCGUCGUGAGAAGCGAGUAGACACGCGUCCCCGGUAUCAGGUUUCAGAACCGCGUCUGGAGCCUCCUGUGAGCCAUGCGACCGUGGGCGAGUCCUUGAACCUCCCCGUGUCUUCAGUUUCCCCUUUGAAAUGGGGGCGUUGGCAGGCCGGCACAGCCUGUGCACGUAGCUGCACAUAACAGCCCCCCUCCCUUGCUCGUGUGGGGGCUCUUUUCUUUAUAAGCCACCUGGUCUGACCCGAAGACGUUCUGUAGGUGAGUAAGUGCUUUUGAAGAGAGUUUGGUGUACUGGAGCCAGUCCACUUAGAAGACAGGAUCGGGCCAGAAAUUCUAGCAGCACACGGAGGGGACAUAGAGAUGCGUUGUCCAUGUGUCGGAAUUUUAUUCGGAGAAGGUCCGUGCGUCCGCAGCUGUGCUACGGGGCCACCCUGCUGGUCCCACGGCAGACUUUUCCAGCCACGUUGAAGUGCUGUCCGGUCGUCUUAGGACGCAACUUUGAUGAGAAGCACGAUGCUUGUGCUGAGCUGUGUCGCCUUCUCCAUACAGAGGUCCCGCUGGGGUUUCCGAGGAGCCGACCUCCCACCCACUCUGAGGACCUCUGUGGUGGUGCCGGCUGAUGCCAAGGGUGGUGAUGGCUUCUCGGGGAUGGGGAGCGCACUCUGGUUGAGCUUGUUUUCUCUGUCACGUAGGAAAUAAAUUCAGAGCAGUUUUCACAAAGACCCAGAAAGGCCUGGCUGGAGCCCGCAGGAAGGAGCCUGUGCUCGUGGGGCAGUGGACGCAGGCGCUGGGCAGGCCGAGAGUGCCCAUCUGCUCCGGUGUGCCCAGAAACAAGAGGCACCGGGGCUUGCUGGAAAGAGCCUUUGCUUUGAUGUGGUUUGGGUGCUGGCCGUCUGGACGGGACCGCGGAGCAGCGCGGUUCUGGUCCCGAGGGGCUGGGUGUCCUGUGUCUCGGCGGUCAGCCCUGUGCAGGCAGAGGAAGCCCGGCGUCCGGCCCAUCCUGUGGACAGCGUCCACGCAGGAGGUGCCGACAUGGCCACAGGAGCUUGAGGUCCUCAGCGCUUUCUUCCACCUGCCACCCAGACGGCAACCGCUCCUCCCCAGAGAGCCGUCGGCUGGCCGCCCCCACCCCCCCCCCCCCCCCCCCCCCCCGGCCUGUCCCUGACGCUUUGGAACUCGGACGUGUGGCUGUCGGAAAAGCUUCAGUGUUUCCAGACGUGCCUCACGGCUCUGACCCUUCACUGGGGUCGGACGGACGGGGUGCACGGCGGGUCCCAAUCAGCUGCCGUGGGGGACUUGGGCGUGGGGGCCUCGUUUCUUUCUUUGCCAGGGAAGUUGGCGAGUGUGGUUUUCUGGCUGUAUUUUACUCUCGUUUAAUGGUACUAGAGGUGGAGUGAAGUUUGUUUAAGUUUUUACAUGAUGGUAUUUUUAUUUGAAGUUAAAACGUUUUGGGGUUUUUUGUGUUGUGUUUUGCACGUGGGAGGCCUUUGUUUCAUGAUUUCCCCGCGUGUGAUGACAGUGAUGCAGGUCUGGCUCCCACGGGAAGGUCUGCUCGGCAUCGCCUCCUGCUGGUUCCACGAGGCCAAGUGGCUCCAUGGAUCUUGUCCCUUGAACCUGAAAGCCAGUUUUACUGGAAGGAGAAGGGUGGUAGUUGUUACUUGUCUACCAAGAAAUGAUUCAUUGUUUUUUCAGAUCAGCGACAUCGGAUGCCGUUUUAUUCACAGUGCUUGUGGGGUACGCUCGCUCCUUGAGGUCAGUCUCUAAGAUGAAAAAGUCAAGUAUAUGUUUGAAAAGCAUUUGCUCAAAUGAGUUACCUUCAAAUUGUUUGCGACACCGUACAGAUGCAUCAUUGUCCCCACCACUUGGUGAGGCGGCUGGCACGGACACGGUGGCCCGGGUCUCGCACUGGGACCCUCUGCGGCACUCUGUGCUCGCAUUCGGCAGAGGCGACUUAGAACUCGAUGUAAGACUCUACUUCCAUCGCUUCUAGAGUUAGCAGACACGCGUAAAGGACAGUAUUUCUGCCAAACCAAUUAUUAAUUCGUUAACAGCCAAAGAACAUAGCAUAACGUGGUUGGUAACUCUCACGUUACAGAAAUCCACGGCUGACGGCUAAUCGCUGACACACGUCCCAGGCUCACACCACCUAGUCCCGCUGGCUCUCUCCCCCUUUCCAGCCUGCGCUGCAGACGUACGGACAGCUGGGGGGGCUCUCCCACAGUCUGUGCAGGUCUCGUCCUUCCAGAAGGUUCCCCCAGUCUCACUGCAGCGUCGGGACAGACGGCACUAAAAUGCUCUGGGGCACUGGCACACAUGAAAGGUGCUUGUGGUGUCGGCGGACCCGGGCGGGGUCCCCUUCAGCCCCGGGCAGGCGUGUGGCCGGGACAGAAGUCUGGGGCGUUGCUGACCCGAGGACGUCCUGUCCUGUGGAAGCUAGUGGGUCAUCUCCCCCAUGUGGCCAGCGGUGGCUCUGGCACCUGGGGUGUAAUAUAGGAUGUGCACCCCCUGUGUUCCCUGCAGUGGGGUCAUGGCCCUGCCCCCUAACCUUGCUCUAGGAGCCACCUCCCCUGUGUCUCGUACGUGGUUUUGUCUCCUGUUUCACACGAAGCUGGAGUGAACACCACGUGUGCUGGUCGUGCUGGUGUGUGGGUGUGCUCCUCACGUGCGUUUCUAGGCCGGCACUUGGUGGCCUCGUGCCUCCGUGGAAGGCCGAAUGGUUUUCCGUGAGAGCAGGUGAUGACGCUCAUUUGCUGUGGCACAGUGUUUGGUGGCAGCUAACGGCCAACACGACAGGUGAAUGUUGGUGUCGCCGUGGCUUCAUUUUAACGUGCUUUUCUCUUCUGACGGGCUGUGCCCUGGGCCUCAGACGGAGGAAAAGGAGCUCGCCGGUCACCAGGCCGCAGCAGCUGCCCUGGCCAGAGAGGCGGGACCCGACCGCUUCCACUCAAGGGAAGACGCCCAGGAGCGCGGCCCGACGUCCGAGCUCACAGAGCGACUCCCGGCGGCCACCCCAGGCGCGCUCCGGGCCGGAGGAGCCGUGCGGGAGGACGAGAGCUAGUACACGGACAGCGCUGAGAAGGGCAGCGAGGAAGAAGAUGUGCUCCGGGGGUCCGUCCGAACCACGGAAGAGAGAACGAGCAGGGGAGCGCGCGCUCAGAGACGCGGGGCCCCGGUUAGCGCACCGACCUUCCCACAGCGGGAGCCGUCGGAGCGCGGAGGGGAGGGGCAGGGGCAGAAAACCUCCCAGAUCGGAGAGAAGACGUUCUAACACUUCCCGAAAUCUUGAUGGACUCCAAGCGGGCUCAGCACAGAGAGCCACACCCAGACGCAUCUCGGUGGAAGCGCGCAAGGCAGACAAGGGCGCCGCGGGCCUUGCCGGCAGCCGCUUCUCAUCAGACGCCGCCCAGGCCCCAGGCCCCGGGGCGGCACGCUGCCACACGGGAGAGAAGGCCAGAGAGAAGGCCGUCAGCCAGGCGGAGCUGUGGCGCAAACGAAGCUCGGAGAAGACGUCCCGGCCGAGAACUGAGAGAACUCGCUGCCCUCGCGGGAAACCCCAAAGGGAGCUCCUCGGUCACGGAGCCGAUGACCCGGACAGAGCUGAGAACCCUCAUCCACGCGGAUGGCAGCGAGCCCCGUGAGGGUGAGCGGGCGAUCGGCAGGCAGGAAGAAUUCCGAGUUCUCUCCUUUCUUCACCGAGUGGAGAGAAAAAGCAGUUGAGUGAGGCAGCGUGGACGCAACCGUCGGGCCCGUGGCGUGGAGAAGCGCGAUGCUUGCCGGCGCCCGCGCCGAGGCCGUGGGAACGAGAGGCUUCGGGAGACGUGGCGAGCGGGCGGGCCGGCGGGACGUGCUGUGAGCCUCUCCCCUCAGCCGCUCCGCAGGACGCAAAGGGACGGAAGGUAGCGACCGUGGCCGCGUGCGGCACGCGUAGGUGGACCGUGCGUGACAGGAGUAGUGCAGGAAGGAAGCACGGGUUCUGAGCCGGGCGGCGAGUCUGCACCGGCGUGCGACCAGGGAAACCGCCGUCGGUUGUGAGGGCGUGACGCGGGGUCCUGGCGGGGAAGGAAGUCCGAGGGGACGGGACGGCCCCCGUCCUGGGGCGUCACGUGGGGUGUGCUGGUUUCGUGCGGAGGAGGCAGGAAGGAAGGAGCAGGAUCAGAAGUGCACGAGGGCCGGGGUGAACGUGCACGUAACCAGCAUGAGUGGGUCGUGUGACCCGUGACCCGAGAACAGAUGGUGACCCGUUUGCCGGUCACGGGGAGGACUCCUUCCUCAGGGCCCUGCACAGUGUGGGGUCGCAGCGAGCGCCCGUGAGCCCACCCGCCUGCCGACAGAGGUGCCCGUGAGGCUGCACGAGGACGUGAGGACGUGGACGGGGAGGUGACGAAGAGGGGCACCGGCGGCCGUCCUGCCCUUCCCUGCGAGGUGUUAGAAGUCGUCUCAUUACGUGUAACUUCGCGUCAGUCGUCAGGCUUUCCAAAACCAGUCACGUCGAAGGGGAUCCAAACGCUUGUGCUUUGGGGACCGUCCCUCCCCCGCCCUGACACCUGCGUGUUGACUGCCGACCACGGGUCCCUGAAGGCACGCGUGCUGAAGCCGCUGCCUGCGUGGGCCGUCCCACGAGGGCGCUUGUCGGAAAGCGGGGGCUCCCGUAGGUCUCGAGACGCUUGUGGAAAUUUCACCUCGGACUGGCGUUCGGUGACAGGAGCCUGCCUGUCCGUCGGGAAAGCAGCACAGCCUUCUUGCCGCCCGUCAGGCUGGGGCGCCCGGAGCCCCGAGCCCACCUCUUGUUCACCCGCGUUUGGGGAGCGUGCUCCAUGCGGGAUUGUGGCAAAACCACCGAAUCAAGUAUGCUGUUUUUUAACCUUGCCCAUCUGUCAGAGUGAGAGGCCUCGAUUUUGUUCCGGGCCCUUCCGUGUCCUGGUCGCACAGAGCAGGGCUUCUUGUGCUCAUCCGUGUCCAGGACUCACUGAGGACACGCUUCAUGCCCCAGCCGCCACUCCCGUCAUCUACUCGAUAAGCCUGAUUGCCGGGCAACCAGGUUACUCCGGGUUAGGUACUCACUCGCACUCGCACUCGCUAAGCCUGGCUUCCCUGAGCGAGACACCCGUCCUGCCCAGGAUAGGUGAGUCCUGCUGCCGGGCCAGGUGGAGCCAGCACCCUGGGGGCCACCGCCGCUGUGACGGCACGAAGCACGCGUUCGGGGUUGGCUGCCCCCCCCCCCCCCCCCCCCGCGGCCCGGGCAAGGCCCGAGCCCGUGGGUCAGGUGACCUGGUUGCCUGUGUCCCCACUCACGGCGAGGAGUGGGUUCCCUGCAGUUGUGCCUGAGGCGCCGGCCGCUGCUGGCAUCCGUCCUCAUAGGUGAGCAGGCGCCCACUGUGCCCACUGGUGCCCACGCUUGCUUCGCGCCGUGCACGUGUUCGGUCCGUCUUGCGCGUCACCGUUCCGCAGGAUGCAGACCGGGCUGUCCCGCACCCGCACACACAGGAGAAGGGCUUGUUAGUCGAGACGGUGACCUCGCCGCAUACAGCCCUGUGGCUUUUUUUCUGCCGGGAAACCAAGCGGGUUUAACCGGUGAGCUGAAAAGUACAUGCCCUGUGGGCGCCGUUUGGGGGUCCUCCUUGGUCAGAUGCCGGCGUGUGUUUGCCUUGGUCCCUGAGACAUCCACGUCCGUAACUCGGCGCGCUUGGGGCGCCAGUGGAAGUGUGUACUCGGAAGCUGCAGCGUCCGGGAGGAAGUUUGUUCCUGUUCGUGCUAUUUCCCGCCUUGAGCGUGGGAGGGUUUUUUCCACCCUGAACAUGAGAGGGUUUCCAGCUCUCAGUUUUGUCCACGUUAAAUCUGUUUGCGUUUCUCCGGAACCGCACACGUGGCUGUAAAAACAACAUAAACGUGUGCUGUGCUGAGGGGAGACGAAGCUUUGAUCGUUCACAGGCGUUUGUUAGCCGUGACCUGCAGGCCUGAGAUGAUUUUUAAUUACUAAAAUUUAAUCGUGUAUAAAAAUUUAUUCUCCGAAUGUUA